This 219-nucleotide unclassified non-coding RNA is filed under the name uncultured fungus. Its description in RNAcentral is "sequence contains ITS1". The record is from RNAcentral. Lineage: Eukaryota; Fungi.
UUAUUAGUUUAUUAUAAAACGUUUACAUUCAUAAGACUUGAGUUAUUGUAUAAAAAUGAUGGCGAGUUCGUUAAUAAGCUUGCGCUUACUAACAAUCUACAACCAUAACAGUGCACAGGUGUAUGUGGAUGUGAAGGGUUGAGGCGUCUUAGAUGUUUUACGUCUAGUACGACCUCAGUUUAAUCACUAGUGAUCCUUCCGCAGGUUCACCUACGGAAA